RNAcentral lists this ribosomal RNA (258 nucleotides) under uncultured bacterium. RNAcentral describes it as "partial 16S ribosomal RNA". It matches the Rfam family "Bacterial small subunit ribosomal RNA", at positions 96 to 354 of the family's 1533-position model. The record is from RNAcentral.
CGGCGGACGGGUGAGUAACGCGUGGGUAACCUGCCUCAUACAGGGGGAUAACAGUUAGAAAUGACUGCUAAUACCGCAUAAGCGCACAGGACCGCAUGGUCCGGUGUGAAAAACUCCGGUGGUAUGAGAUGGACCCGCGUCUGAUUAGCUGGUUGGCGGGGUAACGGCCCACCAAGGCGACGAUCAGUAGCCGACCUGAGAGGGUGGCCGGCCACAUUGGGACUGAGACACGGCCCAAACUCCUACGGGAGGCAGCAG